RNAcentral lists this long non-coding RNA (455 nucleotides) under Salvator merianae (Argentine black and white tegu). RNAcentral describes it as "lncRNA (ENSSMRG00000008370.1)". The record is from RNAcentral. Lineage: Eukaryota; Metazoa; Chordata; Lepidosauria; Squamata; Teiidae.
GGCAGACUCAGCAUUCUUGCUCCUGGNUUCUNCACCUCUGCAGUCCCCAAGAUGGANAAGAUUCUUCUCUAUGGCUUGUUUGCAGUGUUCUUUGUCACANUCGCCCAGGGUCUUUGGUGUUAUGACAAGUCCAGAUCUUUUCCAGGCCUCCAUGUGGAAUGCUAUGCUUGUGAUGGGACCGAGCAGUGUUACAAGAUAGGCCACUAUGUUGGUAACAGAUUGAAUUUCUGGGAAGCUGGUUGCACCGGUAAUAAAGAUGGCCUAAACUGCAGCUCUAGCACCACGACGGAAAAUGAUUAUUUUGGAACAAGCACAGAGGUUACCACUUGCUGCAGAAAAGAUUGGUGUAACUACGGGUCACCCAAUGAAUUCUCAACUUUCUGAAAGUGAAGUGGUGACACGCAACUGGGAAAGAAAAUGGGAAUAGAUAUUCCACAGCUGCAAGACAUCCCGUA